UUUUUUAGUAGAGACAGGGUUUCACCAUGUUGGCCAGGAUGUUCUCCAUCUCUUGACCUCGUGAUCUGCCGGCCUCGGCCUCCCAAAGUGAUGGGAUUACAGGUGUGAGCCACCGCGCCCAGCCAAUCUCAGAUAUUUCUUUACGGCAAUGCUAGAAUGGACUAAUACACCAUCUUCUCUUGGCCUCCUCCUCACAUUGUGGCAAGGAGAGAAACUGAGUCCGAGGGAUGUCAACAUGCCAAGUCCAUGGAAAUAUCAGUGGGCUGGAAUUCUAGCUGCCUGAAAGAAGACAUUCCUCACACAAGACCUCACAAUCAUAUCCAUGGAAUUAUAGCACUGGGCUCUCCAGAUGGUGCUACAGGAAGACCUCCAGAAAUUUGACAAUCCUCUAUUCAAGGCCCUACCACAGAGACACACAGGAACGGAACUCAGAAUCACAAACAAAGAAACUUUGAUCCAAGAAAGAAAAUGAUCUUUAAAAAGACCCUCGUUUCAUGCUGGCCGAUGCUGAGAAAAUCUGCUCUGAAGGAUAUUUGGAGACACUGAUUAAAAGAUGGUUGUCCCAGUGGAGGGGGAUUCUUCGUGUUACGUAGAUAGGAAGCACGAUGCAAAAGUGUUGAAGCAGGAGUGUAAAGAAUAAUUAAAACACCUGCCCAAGACCCAAGCAAGGAUAGGAUUUCCCAGACAUUCGUGAGGGAGAAAAUGCCAUGUCCUUUCCUUCUGGUGUCACAUCAGAAUCUGAAGGCUGCUAGAGAAGGGAGAGAAACAUGAAAGUGAGUCCCAUGCUGAUUGUUGUUGAAAUACCUGGAAAGAAACUGGCAAAGACUAUCCAAGGGAUGCUAAGACAUGUCCGAACUUACAAAACAGUAGAACCUGAAUAGGAAUUUGAAGUUGUCUAUACUCUCCUCAGCCACACCCUGCCAUUUUACAGAUUGUCUUCUCUGGGGAAGUUAGCUGUCAUGUUGUGAGGAUACUCAAGCAGUUUAUAAAGAGGUUCAUGUCGCAAGGAAUGGAGGCCUCCUGCCAACAGCCAUGUAAAGGAGCCAUCUAGGAAAUAGAUUCUCCAGCCCCAGUCAGACCUUCAGAUGAUUACAGCCCCUACCAACCUUCUGACUGCGGUGGAAGGAAGGUUCCGGAACCAGAACCACCCAGGUUAAUGUGGGUAAGUCUCAUCCAAUCCUUUGAAGGCCUGAAGAACAAAGAGUGAGGUUUCUGGAAGAAGAAAAUUUUACCUCAAGCCUGCAAUGUAGAAAUUCUGCUUGAGUUUCCCGCCUGCUGGCCUGCCCUGUGGAAUUCGGAGUCAAGAAGGAGUCUUGUAAGCAUUAACUGAGAUAGUAUAUGAAGAGUGCUUUUGCACCGAGUGAACCUUCAAUCAACUGUACUAGUUUGUAUGCCUGGAAGAGCUGCUAUAUGGGAUCAGAAAGAAAAAUAAGGUGCAUACGCCAGAAAAAAAAUACUUGCAUAUGAGUACUAGGAGAUGCAUGACAAUGUUCACGGCAGCAGUAUUCAUGGCAGUGAAAAAUGAAAAGAACUGAAAUGCCCAUUGAUAAAAACGUCUACUUAUUUGUGUCAUCUUUGCACAGUGGAAUUGUGCGAGUGGAAAUGAUUGAUCUACAGCUAGGAGAAGCAGCAGAGCUCAAUCUCAAAAACAUAACGUUGUGUGGAAAAAGCUAACCUCAGAACACUUUGCGGCUCUAUCUUAGCAAACCAGGAGAGAAAUUCUCCUGAUGGCCUUGAAGAAGCAAACAGCCACCUGGUUAAGCCCCUGUGGAUAGUGCCAAGUGGCAGGAAAGUGGGAGCCACCUCUAGGACCUGAGGAUUAAAGUCAGUAAGAGCUGGGACCUCACUCAUGCAGACUCGAGGACAUGAAUUCGACCAACAACUUGAAUGAGCUUGGAAGUGGAUUCUUCCCUAGUCCAGUCUUCAGAAAUUAAGAAUGUUCCCAAAGAAUGAUGGAGACAUUUCAAAAGGAUACGGAAGCCAGAUUGUGGGCGCUUCUACUGGCCAACUCUGGGACAUCGUGGACAUCAAAAUAAAUUUGUAAUAAUAAAGGAUUAUAGCCUAUUAGUUAAAUCAGAAAAAUCUGAUUUAACUAAAUGAGUAGGAGGAAAAGAAAGCUCUUCCUUAUAUUAGAAAGUCAAUUAAUAAAUGCAGAAAGGAAUGAAAAAAUUAGAAAAGCCACCAUUUGGCAACCAUGGCAGGCAGAAUGGGGAGUAUGCCUCCAGACAGUAAUUCCUUUCAAACUGGUUUAUAGGAACUCACUGAGCUUGCUGAUCGACCUCUGAGAGGCAAAGUUUCUGAAUUAUGAAGUACUGAUUAUAUAAACUUAGACAGAGACAUGCUUCAUUAUUUAAUAGGACUGUGUCAAAAGCCUACUAUUAGGAUGAUGUGUUGGGUGUGGAACAGGGUCUCUUCCUGCCAGGAACACUGGUGAUUUCACUCCGUGUUCAGGCUGAUCUUUGAAGUUGAAGACAAGCAGAAGAAUCCUUCUAAAAUUUAGCCAUGCCCAUAGGCUGGGAGGGACACUGCUCCAUUCAGAGGCAGCAAAGCACAUUACUGUAUCUCCUAUAGAGCUUUGAGCAGUCCAGUGUACAUGGAGAAACUUAGUAAAUGUUGUUGAAUUAGUGAAUGAACAAAUCAAUGGACCAAGUCAGGGGUAAGUCUUACAUUUGUCAUCUAGGUGAUUAAGAAAGGAAAAAGUAUCUGUUUCAAGAGGAUUACAAUCUAACUGUACUCCAAUAGUAAAAUUUACUCUUUUGGAAUCUGA
Molecule: long non-coding RNA, 2767 nt
Filed under: Homo sapiens (human)
Lineage: Eukaryota; Metazoa; Chordata; Mammalia; Primates; Hominidae
Description: HSALNT0308971
Source: RNAcentral